Non-coding RNA from Zootoca vivipara (common lizard), 2480 nucleotides. The record is from RefSeq and is a predicted model, not a curated record. NCBI's taxonomy places the organism in Eukaryota, Metazoa, Chordata, Lepidosauria, Squamata, Lacertidae.
UGUAUUGUGGAAGGGGAGAUCUUGCGCGCGCACCUCCCCAUGGUGUCCUUCAAGUGGCGUCGCCCACCGUGGAUCCUCCGCGCGGGGCGGUGGCAGGACAGACCAAAUGCAAUAUUUCGAGAGGGGUGAUCGUGUUUAAUGGGAAGGUGGGGGGACACGACGUCAGCAGUUGGUGUGGCGCAGGCUGAAGUUCCACUGGGAGAGUUUUCCCCCAGCCUUGCAUUCACUACCCAGAGGACACGAAGUGACACAGAAGCGAAGACGUAACCUCUUCUGUCUUAAUCAGGAUCUCUGUUGGGCCUUCUGCGUGGAAAGCAGGUGCAAUCCCACUGAGCUGCUUUCCUUUCUGCGUGGCGCUUUAAAAAUGCAAUAGGAGCAGGAGAGGUAAAGUGAUUAAAGGAAGAGAUCAAAGCCACAUCUGUGUGCAUGUGAUGGUGGUCUCAGCAUCUUUAUUCCUUGCAGCAUUCCAGUGUGGUGGUAUCUAAACUAACAACGCUGAAUUUUGAAUUGCAUUUUUAAUGCUUGAUGUUUUGUUAUGUUUCUGUAUAUGCUGGAAGCCACCCAGAAUGGCUGGGGCGACCCAGUCACAUGGGCAGGGUACAAAUAAUAAAAUUAUUACUAUUAUGGUAAUAUAAUCUACCAGUACUGUGGUGGGUAAUUAGUCCUGAGCGCCUGUUUUAGCACUUGUUUUCCUCUACCUUACUCCAGAGGCUCUCUAACCCGUAGAGUGCUUUGGCAUUGCCUGAGGAUAUAGUGAAAUCAUGCUCAUUUCCCUCCCCAGUAGGGUGCUUGGUUCCCUUUGGGGUCUACAAUUUGAGCAAACAUUCAUCUGAUGGUAGGUACUUACAAGACUUUGGGCGCAGGCGCGCAGGCAUGUAUACAGAUUGUAUACAGUGGUACCUCGGUUUACGAACCUAAUCCGUUCCGGAGGUCUGUUUUUACACCGAAGCCGUUCUUAAACCGAGGCACGCUUUCCCUAAUGAGGCCUCCCACCACCGGUGCCCUUCCACUGUUUGUUGACCGAGGUAAAGUUCACAAACUGGAACAAUACUUCUGGUUUUGCAGAGUUCAUAACCUGAAUAGUUCGUUAACAGGAGUGUUCGUAGACCGAGGUACCGCUCAAUUGGCAAAUUAUGGCAAUGGAUUGCAGCUUUACAGCAUGCCCAACCUCUCUGUGAGCAAAAUUGGGGGAUGGGGCAUGAGAUCUGGGGCUUAGCACAAAAGCACUCAUUAAUAAUUAUCCCACAUCUCUGCAGUUGGUGGUGCUUGUAGUGGCGACCAUGUUGGCUGACAGUGCCUUUGAGAGUGUGGCGGGUUUAAAAGUUGAUUGAUUUAUUUGAUGCAGCUUUGUAAGGAAGCGCAGGAUAGCUGAUUAGCUUAAAGGCUAGCAGAACAAUCUGCAAAUAGGCUACUGUUGUGUGUUUCCAUACUGGCUGCAGAGGAACGUGACAUCCAGCUAAGUCAAACUUGGAUAAGAAGAACCAUUGAAAUAAAUGUGCUUAAAUGGGUCUACUCUGAGCAUGAGUUACAUCGUAUACUGCAAGUGUCCCUGCCCAAUCUGGUAGAGAUGAUAUGAUAGUGAAAAAGAAAAGAGGAGCACCAGAGUAGCAGGAAAAUUCAGGCACUAAUACUUCAUAGAGUAUUCCCCAGUAUCAACCGUAUUGGGUCCUAAGAUUGGCAGGGGCCCCCCUGAUGGUGCUGCUGACACUGGAUGUUGCCCAGUUGGUGUUGACCUAUGUCAGGGCCUUUUUGGUGGUGGUUUCCCAUUUUGGAAUGCCCUCCCUGGUGAAACACAUCUGUAUCCCUCACUAUUCACUUUCAUGAGGAAUUUAAAGAUCUUCUUGUUUACCCAGGCACUGGAUGGCUGAAAGAUACUGUUCCUGGCAACCAUGAAAAUGAUUAGCUUCAAGAGAACUUUGAUCACAGCUGCGGUAUCCAUGCAGAAGAGAGAUUGUGGCUCAGCAUCAUGUUCAGCCAUAGCAACCCUAUUUGUACGAUUGGACUCAUUCUGCAGUUAAGCCAAGUUUCCAACACACCUGCUAGAAAUGGAACCUCCUGGAGGCAUCUAAACUCUGAACUUUUUAAGUUUGUAAAAGGAACAAAGGUUUCGUUGAAGGAACCAUUAGUGCUGUUCUUGUAAUUAGCCACACAGCCGUGAAUAAUUUGUAUGCAUCUAUGGCAUUGCCUAUUAAUGUUCAUAUUUUUCAUUCAUCCACACUUUGUUAGAUACAGUAUUUAUAUAGAUAUAGAUACAUAUAUAAUUUUUGAACUUUAAAGCUCUUUAAUUUUUUAAUGCUGUGUCUGAUGUAAUAGAUUAUUAUUUGUUAAUUGAAUAAAAGUUAGAUAGUUAUUCAUAUUGAAUAUUAUAUUAAUAUAUUAUUAAAUAAAGCAUACCUUUGCACAAUUCUUCUUGAGUCUUUGGUAUUUUCCUCAUCUCAUCCUGUUUAUUAAUAUAAUCAAUAAAGCAGAACCUGUUUCAU